Molecule: long non-coding RNA, 219 nt
Filed under: Pogona vitticeps (central bearded dragon)
Lineage: Eukaryota; Metazoa; Chordata; Lepidosauria; Squamata; Agamidae
Description: lncRNA (ENSPVIG00000017614.1)
Source: RNAcentral
GAGCACAUGUUAGAGGAGCAGCUUGGAAACAACACAAGCCGACUCUAGUCUGCGGUAUCCGUGAGCCAAAGUGGGCAAGUGGACAGGCCCUCGCAUAUGUUGAACACUCUGAAAUCCCAUUGGCUUCAGUGAGAAAGAUCUAAUUGCCUCCCUAUUUUUCCCAUGGUAAGACUUUAUAGCGCUUACUCUGGAUCACAUUCUCAGUAUUUUUGGAAGUUC